UUUGCACCGUCACGAGACCCAAGUACUGCUGUUAAGUUAUGAGCCAAUGAGGUCACUAACCAGACUUUGAUUGCCAAAGCCCUAAAAGAUCAUCAACGGGAAGCUCUCUGCUCAGUGAGGCUGCGCAGUUGUUAAUCGCUUGCAAUAACCGCAAAUACUGAAUGUCCCCUCACAGCAGCGUAUACGGUCAAAAUGGAGUGCUUUUAUUUCAACAAACAAUAACAAUGACGUGGAUUGGGGUCUGCAAAUUGUUAUAUUAUUUUCAAUUGUUUCUUAACACCCCCACGCGCCCCCCCAGUCCUUUGAACGCCUCGUGCUGGACCACCUCAAGAGCAUCACAGGUCCCCUGCUGCCCCCCCUGCAGUUUGCCUACUGAGGAAACAGGUCUGUGGAUGACGCAGACAACAUGGGACUGUGCGGAAACCUAUGCGAGGAUCCUGUUCGUGGACUUCAGCUCUGCGUUCGACACCAUCAUCCCCGAACUCCUCUCCAAGCUUCUCCAGCUCAGUGUCUCGCCUGCCAUCUGCCAGUGGAUUUACAGCUUCCUGACAGGCAGGACACAGCAGGAGAGCCUGGACGCACCACCAGCACCGCCCUCAUCAAAGAAGGUGAGGAGUCUGCAUAUUGGCAGGGAGCGGAGCGGCUGGAGUUGUGGUGGAGCUGAACACGCUCAAGACUGUAAAGAUGAUCGUGGACUUCAGGAGGCAUCUCCCGCCACAGCUGCCCCUCAUGCUGUCCAACUGCCAUGUGUCAACCGUCGAGAUCUUCAAGUUCCUGUGAAUUACAGUCUCUCAGUACCUGAAGUUGGAGACCAACGGCAUCCUCAAAAAGGCCCAUCAGUGGAUGUACUUCCUGCGGCUUCUGAGGAGGCACAGCCUGCCAAAGGAGCUCUUGAGGCAGUUCUACCCAGCGGUCAUCAAAUCGGUUCUGUGUCCUUUCAUCACAGGCUGGUUUGGGGCUGCCACAAAAAAUGACAAACUCCAACUGCAACGGACAAUGAAAACUGCUGAAAGGUUGUUGUUGGUACCCCACUACUCACCCUUGAGGAUUUGCACACUGCCAGAACUAAGAUAUAGCAUGCAAAAUCCUCUUGGACCCUCCACAUCCUGGUAACCACCUCUUCCAGCUUCUUCCCUCAGCAUUUGAACUCUGUGAAGAGCGGGAGUGAUGACGCUUUUGGCCAGCUGGCGGGCAAGCGCGCCAACUUGGUCUCGGUCACCUCCCCGGUCGCUUUGGACACGUAAGAGCCAGCCGAUGACGUCACGGGCCAGAGAGAGUGCAAACGUGUUCACGACGUUUCCGGGUCGGCACGCGGCCGAACUGGGCCCGAGGUGCGGUUCCUUCACGUUUUCAGCGGCCUUCAUCGUGGCUUUCUGUGAGGAUGAAAACUUUGUCAAUAACCAGAGGUGGGACCAAGUCAUUGCUGUGCAGUCUCUAGUCUUUGCCUUCAAGUCCCGAGAUCUGCAACUAUACCGAGUCAAGUCGCACGUCCCACACUUUGAGGCGGCACGGACUUCGACUGGUUAGCACAUCUGCCUCACAGAUCUGAGGACAUGGAUUCAAAUCCCGGUCCCGCAUGUGUGGAGUUUGCACGUUCUCCCCGUGCCUGCGUGGGUUUUCUCCGGAUACUGGGGUUUCCUUCCACACAAAAUUCAGCUGGCAGCCUGGAUGAAUAUACGGAGACUGUCACAUCCUAUAUCAGUUUCUGUGAAGAGGUUUGUGUACCAACAAAAUCAUUUCGCACAUUCAACAACAAGCCGUGGUUCACUGCUAAACUUAAGCAGCUUCGCCAAGCUAAGGAGGACGCAUAUCAGAGCGGGGACAGGGCCCUGUAUCAUCGAGCUAGAAACCAGCUUACUAAAGAAAUUAGCAUUGCAAAGAGGAUCUAUGCAGCAAAGUUGGAAAAACAGUUUAGCGCAAACGACUCUAAAUCAGUCUGGCAUGCAUUCCAAUCCCUGACUAAUUACAAGCGACGAUCCCCCCAAGCUGAGAACAAUAGUACACUAGCCAACGACUUGAAGACCUUCUACUGCGGAUUUGAAAAGGACAGUUUCACACCACACACCCACCCGGCCGCACCCGCGACCACAACCACACCUCUGACUUCUGCGUUAACCAUCCAUGAACAGGAUGUGAGACGCAUCUUCAAACAACAGAAGAUUAACAAAGCGGCAGGC
Molecule: long non-coding RNA, 2177 nt
Organism: Phycodurus eques (leafy seadragon)
Lineage: Eukaryota; Metazoa; Chordata; Actinopteri; Syngnathiformes; Syngnathidae
Exons: 3
Source: RefSeq, a predicted model, not a curated record